RNAcentral lists this ribosomal RNA (492 nucleotides) under uncultured bacterium. Its description in RNAcentral is "partial 16S ribosomal RNA". It matches the Rfam family "Bacterial small subunit ribosomal RNA", at positions 29 to 507 of the family's 1533-position model. The record is from RNAcentral.
AGUGAACGCUGGCGGUAGGCCUAACACAUGCAAGUCGAACGGCAGCACAGUAAGAGCUUGCUCUUACGGGUGGCGAGUGGCGGACGGGUGAGGAAUACAUCGGAAUCUACUUUUUCGUGGGGGAUAACGUAGGGAAACUUACGCUCAUACCGCAUACGACCUACGGGUGAAAGCAGGGGAUCUUCGGACCUUGCGCGAUUGAAUGAGCCGAUGUCGGAUUAGCUAGUUGGCGGGGUAAAGGCCCACCAAGGCGACGAUCCGUAGCUGGUCUGAGAGGAUGAUCAGCCACACUGGAACUGAGACACGGUCCAGACUCCUACGGGAGGCAGCAGUGGGGAAUAUUAGACAAUGGGCGCAAGCCUGAUCCAGCCAUACCGCGUGGGUGAAGAAGGCCUUCGGGUUGUAAAGCCCUUUUGUUGGGAAAGAAAAGCAGCAGGUUAAUACCCCGCUGUUCUGACGGUACCCAAAGAAUAAGCACCGGCUAACUUCGUG